This 72-nucleotide transfer RNA is filed under the name Laemobothrion sp. Its description in RNAcentral is "tRNA-Thr". Lineage: Eukaryota; Metazoa; Arthropoda; Insecta; Psocodea; Laemobothriidae. The record is from RNAcentral.
UGCAUAGUAGUUUAAUUCAGAACUCUAAUUUUGUAAAUUAGAAGUGGAGUAAUAAUAUCGUCCCUCAUCCAA